UACGUAGGGACCGAGCGUUGUCCGGAUUCAUUGGGCGUAAAGAGCUCGUAGGUGGUUUGUCGCGUUGUUCGUGAAAACUCACAGCUUAACUGUGGGCGUGCGGGCGAUACGGGCAGACUGGAGUACUGCAGGGGAGACUGGAAUUCCUGGUGUAGCGGUGGAAUGCGCAGAUAUCAGGAGGAACACCGGUGGCGAAGGCGGGUCUCUGGGCCGGAACUGACGCUGAGGAGCGAAAGCGUGGGGAGCAAACAGG
This 253-nucleotide ribosomal RNA is filed under the name uncultured bacterium. Its description in RNAcentral is "partial 16S ribosomal RNA". It matches the Rfam family "Bacterial small subunit ribosomal RNA", at positions 524 to 776 of the family's 1533-position model. The record is from RNAcentral.